CUCUCUCUCUCGACAUAUAAACAAGUAUCACACUCUGCUUCGUGAAUUGAUAAAUCAAUUCCUAGAUUUCCUAUAAUCAAAAUCGACGAGAACAAUCCGAUCGACAUUCUUCUUCGUCUCUCGUUUCUUCUUCUUUUGUCUUGGAUUAAACAGUCGAGGAAACAGACUUUGUGGUUCCUCUUCUUCUUCGUCUCUCUCUUUUGGCUUCCUUUCAGUUUUGGAUCUGUCUCUCCUUCGUCCUCAUGGUGGUGCUCCUGCUUCCUCUUUUCUCUUCAAGUUUAAGUAGUCUGGUGAUGUGAGUCAAAGCCAUUCCCUUUUAACCUGUUUGAAGUUUGCACAAAUCCCUAUUUCCUCCUAAAGCUACUGAGAGAGAUGUUUAUGAGUUCUUCUCCUAAGCGGGCAAGCGACUACUUUGACAAGUUGGCAUCUUUUGGUCACAUUUUGUUCCCUUCAUGUGGCAUUAUGGAUGAAGAUGUUCGAGCACAAGCCUUUUGAUCCACGAGCUGUGAUGGGGUUUGGCAUAUUGAAUGGGAUAUCCAUAGGACUAUUGAGCCUGGGCUUUAUUUAUAUCGUUGAUGUGGAGGAACUAUGGUCAAUGUCUGAAAUUAUACAAUGGUUUGAAUUGUUGAAACUGGUUUUGGUUUGUGAUUGUUGUGCAAUGAGAGGAUGUUUGAGAGUUAGAUGGAAAAUGGUUUUAUUUUGUUUGAUUGUUGCUUGUAAAACAAGUUCUCUGAUUUUUUUAAACCAUUUGACACCCAAAGAUGACUAAUGGGAGGACAAAAAAUAAAAACAAGGAUGUGAAGUUCUAAGCUUA
Molecule: long non-coding RNA, 814 nt
Organism: Camelina sativa (false flax)
Lineage: Eukaryota; Viridiplantae; Streptophyta; Magnoliopsida; Brassicales; Brassicaceae
Source: RefSeq, a predicted model, not a curated record